CAGCCGCCGCGGUAAUACGGAGGGUGCAAGCGUUAAUCGGAAUUACUGGGCGUAAAGCGCACGCAGGCGGUCUGACAAGUCAGAUGUGAAAUCCCCGGGCUUAACCUGGGAACUGCAUUUGAAACUGUCAGGCUGGAGUCUUGUAGAGGGGGGUGGAAUUCCAGGUGUAGCGGUGAAAUGCGUAGAGAUCUGGAGGAAUACCGGUGGCGAAGGCGGCCCCCUGGACAAAGACUGACGCUCAGGUGCGAAAGCGUGGGAAGCAAACAGGAUUAGAUACCCCUGUAGUCCCUGUCUCUUAUAC
RNAcentral lists this ribosomal RNA (301 nucleotides) under uncultured bacterium. RNAcentral's name for it is "partial 16S ribosomal RNA". It matches the Rfam family "Bacterial small subunit ribosomal RNA", at positions 509 to 807 of the family's 1533-position model. The record is from RNAcentral.